UAGCCCUAAAUCUUGAUGACCCCAAACACAAACAUCCGCCUGAGAACUACGAGCACAAACGCUUAAAACUCUAAGGACUUGGCGGUGCUCUAAACCCACCUAGAGGAGCCUGUUCUAUAAUCGAUAACCCACGAUUCACCCGACCACCUCUUGCCAAAACAGCCUAUAUACCGCCGUCGCCAGCCCACCUCAUGAGAGCACAACAGUGAGCCCAACAGCCCACAGCCCACUAACAAGACAGGUCGAGGUAUAGCCUAUGAGAUGGAAGAAAUGGGCUACAUUUUCUAAAAUAGAAAACCCAACGAAAAGGGGCUUGAAACCUGCCCCCAGAAGGCGGAUUUAGCAGUAAAGUAGGA
Molecule: ribosomal RNA, 356 nt
Filed under: Ara macao (Scarlet macaw)
Lineage: Eukaryota; Metazoa; Chordata; Aves; Psittaciformes; Psittacidae
Description: partial 12S small subunit ribosomal RNA
Rfam family: Bacterial small subunit ribosomal RNA
Source: RNAcentral